UUAGAGUGUUUAAAGCAGGCUAACGCUUGAAUACAUUAGCAUGGAAUAAUGAAAUAGGACGUCCGAUCCUAUUUUGUUGGUUUCUAGGAUUGACGUAAUGAUUAAUAGGGAUAGUUGGGGGCAUUAGUAUUCAAUUGUCAGAGGUGAAAUUCUUGGAUUUAUUGAAGACUAACUACUGCGAAAGCAUUGCCAAGGAUGUUUUCAUUAAUCAGGAACGAAAGUUAGGGGAUCGAGGACGAUCAGAUACCGUCCUAGUCUCAACCAUAAACGAUGCCGACCAGGGAUCGGACGGUGUUAUUUUUUGACCCGUUCGGCGCCUUACGGGAAAC
This 329-nucleotide ribosomal RNA is filed under the name uncultured Glomus. RNAcentral describes it as "SSU rRNA". It matches the Rfam family "Eukaryotic small subunit ribosomal RNA", at positions 766 to 1098 of the family's 1831-position model. The record is from RNAcentral. Lineage: Eukaryota; Fungi; Glomeromycota; Glomeromycetes; Glomerales; Glomeraceae.